GACGAACGCUGGCGGCGUGCUUAACUCAUGCAAGUCGAACGGAAAGGCCCUGCUUGCAGGGUACUCGAGUGGCGAACGGGUGAGUAACACGUGGGUGAUCUGCCCUGCACUUCGGGAUAAGCCUGUGAAACUGGGUCUAAUACCGGAUAGGAGCCAUUUCAAUCGUCUUGGUUGUAAAGUUUUGUCGGUGUAGGAUGAGCUCGCGGCCUAUCGGCUUGUUGGUGGGGUAAUGGCCUACCAAGGCGGCGACGGGUAGCCGGCCUGAGAGGGUGGACGGCCACAUUGGGACUGGGAUACGGCCCAGACUCCUACGGGAGGCAGCAGUGGGGAAUAUUGCAAAAUGGGCGCAAGCCUGAUGCAGCGACGCCGCGUGGGGGAUGACGGCCUUCGGGUUGUAAACUCCUUUCGCUAGGGACGAAGCUUUUUGUGACGGUACCUAGAUAAGAAGCACCGGCUAACUACGUG
Molecule: ribosomal RNA, 465 nt
Filed under: uncultured bacterium
Lineage: Bacteria
Description: partial 16S ribosomal RNA
Rfam family: Bacterial small subunit ribosomal RNA
Source: RNAcentral